AUGAGUGAAGUAUAAACCCCUUUACGAGUAUCAAUUGGAGGGCAAGUCUGGUGCCAGCAGCCGCGGUAAUUCCAGCUCCAAUAGCGUAUAUUAAAGUUGUUGCAGUUAAAAAGCUCGUAGUUGGAUUUCUGUUGUAUAAUUUUAAAAUAUACCCAGGGAAAUAUUUAAUUUACCAACACCCUCCCAAUAAUUUCCAAAAUAUAUAGGAAAUUUUACUUUGAGAAAAUU
RNAcentral lists this ribosomal RNA (228 nucleotides) under Cryptosporidium sp. Morro Bay New-1. Its description in RNAcentral is "partial 18S ribosomal RNA". It matches the Rfam family "Eukaryotic small subunit ribosomal RNA", at positions 514 to 767 of the family's 1831-position model. The record is from RNAcentral. Lineage: Eukaryota; Apicomplexa; Conoidasida; Eucoccidiorida; Cryptosporidiidae.